GACGAACGCUGGCGGCGUGCUUAACACAUGCAAGUCGAACGGAAAGGCCCUGCUUGCAGGGUGCUCGAGUGGCGAACGGGUGAGUAACACGUGGGUGAUCUGCCCCUUACUUUGGGAUAAGCCUGGGAAACUGGGUCUAAUACUGGAUAGGACCAUGCUGUAGGUGGUGUGGUGGAAAGAUUAGUUUCGGUAAGGGAUGAGCUCGCGGCCUAUCAGCUUGUUGGUGGGGUAAUGGCCUACCAAGGCGUCGACGGGUAGCCGGCCUGAGAGGGUGGACGGCCACAUUGGGACUGAGAUACGGCCCAGACUCCUACGGGAGGCAGCAGUGGGGAAUAUGGCACAAUGGGCGCAAGCCUGAUGCAGCGACGCCGCGUGGGGGAUGACGGCCUUCGGGUUGUAAACUCCUUUCAGCCAUGACGAAGCCUUCGGGUGACGGUAGUGGUAGAAGAAGCACCGGCUAACUACGUG
RNAcentral lists this ribosomal RNA (468 nucleotides) under uncultured bacterium. RNAcentral describes it as "partial 16S ribosomal RNA". It matches the Rfam family "Bacterial small subunit ribosomal RNA", at positions 28 to 507 of the family's 1533-position model. The record is from RNAcentral.